RNAcentral lists this long non-coding RNA (1019 nucleotides) under Capra hircus (goat). RNAcentral describes it as "lncRNA (ENSCHIG00010017006.1)". The record is from RNAcentral. Lineage: Eukaryota; Metazoa; Chordata; Mammalia; Artiodactyla; Bovidae.
AAUUUAGUAUUGAUUCCAGACAUAUUUAGAUUUUUAGUAUUAUUCUCCCCUGCCUUUCUAAUUUAAGUAGACAAAUUAAGCAAAAGUGUGUAUUCACAACCAAAUGUUGAUGUGCUUAUCCACAAUAAUAUCCUCUCAAUGUUCGCUGAGGCAUAGAAAUUGUUUCAGAGUAGAAAUUGCAGCGUGAGUAGAAACUCACCUCAUUGUCCUGGAAACAGAACUUGAUCAUUUUGCUUUUAGAUGAUUCUUUUUCUUUCACCACCAUAAAAUCUUGUGCCUCCCAGUGCAUUGGAAAAUGACAAAAGCCUGUCUCUCAAAAUGCCUAUUUAACAGGUUUUUUAAAAUCACCAUCUUUCCAAUCUUCAUUCAACUCUCACCACAUAAAAAUUGGCGACUUGGGAGAAAGUUCACUUUCUCUGGUGGGAGGGUGAAGGACUAGGGACAGUUUACAAAGGGAAACAAAGUCUAAAGUCCAUGUUGAAGUACCACAUUUCCACUUAUUUUCUGCUAACCCCAAAUAUUUUUGCAUCUACACUUGAGGUUAUAGUCUGUGCCUAGACCUAAAUGCACCAGCGGGGGGAUUUUUAAAAAUCCUUCAAAAUCCCACUCUUUUCCCACAAGUACAAUUGUUCUUGUGCCUUCUGUGGCUUUCGAUUUCAUCUUUUGACUUUAUUUCCAAUUACUACAGCUGCAAUAAACACUAGAUUUUUUUUCUGGCUGUUUGACAUGACGUUGAUAGCUAUGCAUAUUUUGUGUCUUUUUAAAAACAAAGCGGGAGAAUACGUUUUUGAGAAGAGAAUUUUUAGAACAGUUUGAUACCGCAAAUUAUUUUUUCCUCAAUUGUUUGAGCAGCAUUCGAGUUUUGAAAAUUCUUGUAGAAGCCAAUUUUUUGUAACUGUGGUGCAAAUCUUGUGUUUUCUUAGCCUAACGAAAAGUAGUAUAGAAGCAAUAUUUCAUACCAUGUGCUAUGUAUGUGUGUGCAGAUGUGUGAACAUAAACACAUACACACAUAUACACAC